RNAcentral lists this ribosomal RNA (917 nucleotides) under uncultured bacterium. RNAcentral describes it as "bacterial SSU rRNA". It matches the Rfam family "Bacterial small subunit ribosomal RNA", at positions 29 to 946 of the family's 1533-position model. The record is from RNAcentral.
AUGAACGCUAGCGGGAGGCUUAAUACAUGCAAGUCGAGCGGCAAGGUCUUCGGACCCUAGAGCGGCGCACGGGUGAGUAACGCGUACGCAAUCUGCCCUUCAGUGAGGAAUAGCCCUGGGAAACUGGGAUUAAUACCUCAUAAUAUUAUCUAUCUGCAUGGAUAGAUAAUUAAAGUUCUGGCGCUGAAGGAUGAGCGUGCGUCUGAUUAGCUAGUUGGUAGGGUAACGGCCUACCAAGGCUACGAUCAGUAGGGGGCGUGAGAGCGUGACCCCCCACACGGGUACUGAGACACGGACCUGACUCCUACGGGAGGCAGCAGUAAGGAAUAUUGGGCAAUGGAGGCAACUCUGACCCAGCCAUCCCGCGUGAAGGAUUAAGGCCCUAUGGGUUGUAAACUUCUUUUGUUUGGGAAGAAAUCUGGACAUUUAUGUGCAGUUGACGGUACCUUACGAAUAAGCACCGGCUAACUCCGUGCCAGCAGCCGCGGUAAUACGGAGGGUGCAAGCGUUAUCCGGAAUCACUGGGCGUAAAGGGUGUGUAGGCGGUUGUAUUAGUCUUUCGUAAAAGCGCUCGGGCUUAACCCGGGUAAUGCGGAAGAAACGGUACGACUUAGAGGAUGUGAGAGGUAAAGGGAACUCAUAGUGUAGGGGUGAAAUCCGUUGAUAUUAUGGGGAACACCAAAUGCGAAGGCACUUUACUGGCACAUUCCUGACGCUGAGACACGAAAGCGUGGGAAUCGAACGGGAUUAGAUACCCCGGUAGUCCACGCCCUAAACGAUCACAACUAGCUUUACGGAGUAUCGACCCUCUGUGAGGCGUAGCUAACGCGUUAAGUUGUGCGCCUGGGUAGUACGAUCGCAAGAUUAAAACUCAAAGGAAUAGACGGGGCCUUGCACAAGCGGUGGAUCAUGCGGCU